GACGAACGCUGGCGGCGUGCCUAAUACAUGCAAGUCGAACGCACUCUCGUUUAGAUUGAAGGAGCUUGCUCCUGAUUGAUAAACAUUUGAGUGAGUGGCGGACGGGUGAGUAACACGUGGGUAACCUGCCCUAAAGUGGGGGAUAACAUUUGGAAACAGAUGCUAAUACCGCAUAAAACCUAACACCGCAUGGUGUAGGGUUGAAAGAUGGUUUCGGCUAUCACUUUAGGAUGGACCCGCGGUGCAUUAGUUAGUUGGUGAGGUAAAGGCUCACCAAGACCGUGAUGCAUAGCCGACCUGAGAGGGUAAUCGGCCACACUGGGACUGAGACACGGCCCAGACUCCUACGGGAGGCAGCAGUAGGGAAUCUUCCACAAUGGACGAAAGUCUGAUGGAGCAACGCCGCGUGAGUGAAGAAGGUUUUCGGAUCGUAAAACUCUGUUGUUGGAGAAG
This 453-nucleotide ribosomal RNA is filed under the name uncultured bacterium. RNAcentral describes it as "bacterial SSU rRNA". It matches the Rfam family "Bacterial small subunit ribosomal RNA", at positions 28 to 447 of the family's 1533-position model. The record is from RNAcentral.